GCAUUGGCGGUUCAGUGGUAGAGUUCUCAGCCUCCAUAUGGGGGACCUGGGUUUGAAUCCUGGCCGGUGCA
This 71-nucleotide transfer RNA is filed under the name Loxodonta africana (African savanna elephant). It matches the Rfam family "tRNA". From Rfam's summary of the family: Transfer RNA (tRNA) molecules are approximately 80 nucleotides in length. Their secondary structure includes four short double-helical elements and three loops (D, anti-codon, and T loops). Further hydrogen bonds mediate the characteristic L-shaped molecular structure. tRNAs have two regions of fundamental functional importance: the anti-codon, which is responsible for specific mRNA codon recognition, and the 3' end, to which the tRNAs corresponding amino acid is attached (by aminoacyl-tRNA synthetases). tRNAs cope with the degeneracy of the genetic code in two manners: having more than one tRNA (with a specific anti-codon) for a particular amino acid; and 'wobble' base-pairing, i.e. permitting non-standard base-pairing at the 3rd anti-codon position. The record is from Rfam by way of RNAcentral. Lineage: Eukaryota; Metazoa; Chordata; Mammalia; Proboscidea; Elephantidae.